Molecule: long non-coding RNA, 339 nt
Organism: Oncorhynchus tshawytscha (Chinook salmon)
Lineage: Eukaryota; Metazoa; Chordata; Actinopteri; Salmoniformes; Salmonidae
Source: Ensembl
GGAGGAGAUAGGGGAGGAGAUAGGGGGAGGAGAUAGGGGGAGGAGAUAGGGGGAGGCAGGGGGAGGAGAUAGGGGAGGAGAUAGGGGGAGGAGAUAGGGGAGGAGAUAGGGGGAGGCAGGGAGGAGAUAGGGGAGGAGAUAGGGGGCAGGGGGAGGAGAUAUGGGAGGAGAUAGGGGAGGAGAUAGGGGGAGGCAGGGAGGAGAUAGGGGGAGACAGGGGAGGGAGAUAGUGGGAGGCAUGGGGAGGAGAUAGUGGGAGGCAGGGGGAGGAGAUAGUGGGAGGCAGGGGAGGAGAUAGUGGGAGGCAGGGGGAGGAGAUAGUGGGAGGCAGGGGGAGGA